AGAGUUUGAUCAUGGCUCAGGACGAACGCUGGCGGCGUGCUUAACACAUGCAAGUCGAACGAGGUUCAUCUGGUGGCAACACCAGAGAAGACCGAGUGGCGAACGGGUGAGUAACACGUGAGCAACCUGUCCCGAAGACUGGGAUAACACCGGGAAACCGGUGCUAAUACCGGAUACCCCCACCGGGUCGCAUGGUCUGGUGAGGAAAUGCCUGUUUCCUAAAAGAUGCAGACGCUUCGGGAGGGGCUCGCGGCCUAUCAGCUAGAUGGUGGGGUAACGGCCUACCAUGGCAUCGACGGGUAGCUGGUCUGAGAGGACGAUCAGCCACACUGGGACUGAGACACGGCCCAGACUCCUACGGGAGGCAGCAGUGGGGAAUCUUGCGCAAUGGGCGAAAGCCUGACGCAGCAACGCCGCGUGGGGGACGAAGGCCUUCUGGGUUGUAAACUCCUUUCGGGAGGGACGAUUGUGACGGUACCUGCAGAAGAAGCCCCGGCCAACUACCUGCCAGCAGCCGCGGUAAUACGUAAGAGAAGGAGGGGGGGGUGGGGGAUUCAUUGGGCGUAAAGAGCUCGUAGGCGGCUUGGCAAGUCAAAGUGUGGAAAUCUCCCAGGCUUUAACCUGGAGUCGCCCACUCGAUACUGGCCAUGGGCUAGAGUCCCGGUAGGGGACCAUUGGGAAUUUCCUGGUGGUAGCGGUGAAAUGCGCAGAUAUUCAGGGAGGAAACACCUCAGUGGUCGAAGGCUGUGUGUCUGGCUCCGUCCUG
Molecule: ribosomal RNA, 766 nt
Filed under: uncultured Aciditerrimonas sp.
Lineage: Bacteria; Bacillati; Actinomycetota; Acidimicrobiia; Acidimicrobiales; Acidimicrobiaceae
Description: bacterial SSU rRNA
Rfam family: Bacterial small subunit ribosomal RNA
Source: RNAcentral